RNAcentral lists this ribosomal RNA (496 nucleotides) under uncultured bacterium. Its description in RNAcentral is "partial 16S ribosomal RNA". It matches the Rfam family "Bacterial small subunit ribosomal RNA", at positions 28 to 523 of the family's 1533-position model. The record is from RNAcentral.
GAUGAACGCUAGCGGCAGGCCUAACACAUGCAAGCCAAGGGGUAGGGUUAGCUUGCUAACUUGAGACCGGCGCACGGGUGCGUAACGCGUAUGCAAUCUACCUUGUACAGGGGGAUAGCCCAGAGAAAUUUGGAUUAAUACCCCAUGGUGUUAUGAUGUGGCAUCACAUUAUAACUAAAGUUCCAACGGUACAAGAUGAGCAUGCGUCCCAUUAGCUAGUUGGUGUGGUAACGGCAUACCAAGGCAAUGAUGGGUAGGGGUCCUGAGAGGGAGAUCCCCCACACUGGUACUGAGACACGGACCGGACUCCUACGGGAGGCAGCAGUGAGGAAUAUUGGUCAAUGGUCGGGAGACUGAACCAGCCAAGUCGCGUGAAGGAUGAAGGUAUUAUGUAUUGUAAACUUCUUUUAUAAGGGAAUAAAGUGUUGGACGUGUCCAAUUUUGUAUGUACCUUAUGAAUAAGGAUCGGCUAACUCCGUGCCAGCCGCCGCUGUAA